ACACGACUACAUUAGAUACCCGCGUAGUCCCAGCCCUAAACGAUGCGCGUUAGGUGUAUCGGUGACCACGAGUCACCGAGGUGCCGAAGGGAAACCGUGAAACGUGCCGCCUGGGAAGUACGGUCGCAAGGCUGAAACUUAAAGGAAUUGGCGGGGGAGCACAACAACGGGUGGAGCUUGCGGUUUGAUUGGAUUCAACGCCGGAAAUCUUACCGGGACCGACAGCAACAUGAAGGCCAAGCUGAAGACUUUGCCGGAUUAGCUG
RNAcentral lists this ribosomal RNA (265 nucleotides) under uncultured archaeon. RNAcentral describes it as "partial 16S ribosomal RNA". It matches the Rfam family "Archaeal small subunit ribosomal RNA", at positions 717 to 982 of the family's 1478-position model. The record is from RNAcentral.